Molecule: ribosomal RNA, 253 nt
Filed under: uncultured bacterium
Lineage: Bacteria
Description: partial 16S ribosomal RNA
Rfam family: Bacterial small subunit ribosomal RNA
Source: RNAcentral
UACGGAGGGUGCGAGCGUUAAUCGGAAUUACUGGGCGUAAAGCGCGCGUAGGCGGUUUGUUAAGUCAGCUGUGAAAGCCCCGGGCUCAACCUGGGAACUGCAGUUGAUACUGUCCGACUAGAGUACGAGAGAGGGAGGUAGAAUUCCAUGUGUAGCGGUGAAAUGCGUAGAUAUAUGGAGGAAUACCAGUGGCGAAGGCGGCCUCCUGGCUCGAUACUGACGCUGAGACGCGAAAGCGUGGGGAGCGAACAGG